RNAcentral lists this ribozyme (78 nucleotides) under Crocodylus porosus (Australian saltwater crocodile). RNAcentral's name for it is "Mammalian CPEB3 ribozyme (ENSCPRG00005004579.1)". It matches the Rfam family "Mammalian CPEB3 ribozyme". From Rfam's summary of the family: The mammalian CPEB3 ribozyme is a self cleaving RNA located in the second intron of the CPEB3 gene which belongs to a family of genes regulating messenger RNA polyadenylation. This ribozyme is highly conserved and found only in mammals. The record is from Rfam by way of RNAcentral. Lineage: Eukaryota; Metazoa; Chordata; Crocodylia; Crocodylidae.
AGUCACAAGCUUGAGGUCAUUAACAGAAGCACUCAUGGUGCGACUCUGUCGGAUUCUAAUGAAUCUGUGAAUUCUGCU